RNAcentral lists this non-coding RNA (233 nucleotides) under Candidatus Omnitrophota bacterium. The record is from RNAcentral. Lineage: Bacteria; Pseudomonadati; Candidatus Omnitrophota.
AUAUCGUCACAAUUGAAUCGUAAGAGGCAGCGAUAAGGGAAGGCCGUGAAAACCGGCCGCGGUCCCGCCGCUGUGAACCCAAAUGCUCCCGGCAGUAUGCCACUGCAUCGGGGGACUGCAUCGGGGGACACGUACCUUUGAAAGGUACGUGUCCCCCGAUGCAGUGCCCCGAGUGGGAAGGCGCCGUGCGAGUUCGGGUGAGCCAGAAGACCUGCGCUGCCUUAAAGUAACCG